Molecule: ribosomal RNA, 468 nt
Filed under: uncultured bacterium
Lineage: Bacteria
Description: partial 16S ribosomal RNA
Rfam family: Bacterial small subunit ribosomal RNA
Source: RNAcentral
GACGAACGCUGGCGGCGUGCUUAACACAUGCAAGUCGAACGGAAAGGCCCUGCUUUUGUGGGGUGCUCGAGUGGCGAACGGGUGAGUAACACGUGAGUAACCUGCCCUUGACUUUGGGAUAACUUCAGGAAACUGGGGCUAAUACCGGAUAGGAGCUCCUGCUGCAUGGUGGGGGUUGGAAAGUUUCGGCGGUUGGGGAUGGACUCGCGGCUUAUCAGCUUGUUGGUGGGGUAGUGGCUUACCAAGGCUUUGACGGGUAGCCGGCCUGCGAGGGUGACCGGCCACAUUGGGACUGAGAUACGGCCCAGACGCGUACGGGAGGCAGCAGUGGGGAAUAUUGCACAAUGGGCGGAAGCCUGAUGCAGCAACGCCGCGUGCGGGAUGACGGCCUUCGGGUUGUAAACCGCUUUCGCCUGUGACGAAGCGUGAGUGACGGUAAUGGGUAAAGAAGCACCGGCUAACUACGUG